RNAcentral lists this ribosomal RNA (1315 nucleotides) under uncultured Alphaproteobacteria bacterium. Its description in RNAcentral is "uncultured alpha proteobacterium 16S ribosomal RNA". It matches the Rfam family "Bacterial small subunit ribosomal RNA", at positions 33 to 1394 of the family's 1533-position model. Lineage: Bacteria; Pseudomonadati; Pseudomonadota; Alphaproteobacteria. The record is from RNAcentral.
ACGCUGGCGGCACGCCUAACACAUGCAAGUCGAACGAAGUAGCAAUACUUAGUGGCAGACGGGUGAGUAACAUGUAGGUAUCUGCCCUUUGGCCUGGAAUAACACGAGGAAACUUGUGCUAAUACCGGAUAAGUCUUUACGGAGAAAGCUUUAUGCACCAUUGGAUGAGCCUGCACUUGAUUAGUUUGUUGGUGGGGUAAUGGCCUACCAAGACUGUGAUCAAUAGCUGAUUUGAGAGGAUGAUCAGCCACAUUGGGACUGAGACACGGCCCAAACUCCUACGGGAGGCAGCAGUGGGGAAUCUUGCACAAUGGAGGAAACUCUGAUGCAGCGAUGCCGCGUGAGUGAAGAAGGCCUUUGGGUUGUAAAGCUCUUUCGUCGGGGAAGAAAAUGACUGUACCCGAAUAAGAAGGUCCGGCUAACUUCGUGCCAGCAGCCGCGGUAAUACGAAGGGACCUAGCGUAGUUCGGAAUUACUGGGCUUAAAGAGUUCGUAGGUGGUUGAAAAAGUUAGUGGUGAAAUCCCAGAGCUUAACUCUGGAACUGCCAUUAAAACUUUUCAGCUAGAGUAUGAUAGAGGAAAGCAGAAUUUCUAGUGUAGAGGUGAAAUUCGUAGAUAUUAGAAAGAAUACCAAUUGCGAAGGGCAGCUUUCUGGAUCAUUACUGACACUGAGGAACGAAAGCAUGGGUAGCGAAGAGGAUUAGAUACCCUCGUAGUCCAUGCCGUAAACGAUGUGUGUUAGACGUUGGAAAUUUAUUUUCAGUGUCGCAGCGAAAGCGAUAAACACACCGCCUGGGGAGUACGACCGCAAGGUUAAAACUCAAAUGAAUUGACGGGGACCCGCACAAGUAGUGGAGCAUGUGGUUUAAUUCGAAGAUACGCGCAGAACCUUACCAACACUUGACAUGUUCGUCGCGACUCUAAGAGAUUAGAGUUUUCGGUUCGGCCGGACGAAACACAGGUGCUGCAUGGCUGUCGUCAGCUCGUGUCGUGAGAUGUUGGGUUAAGUCCCGCAACGAGCGCAACCCUCACUUUUAGUUGCCAUCAUUAAGUUGGGCACUCUGAAAGAACUGCCAGUGAUAAGCUGGAGGAAGGUGGGGAUGACGUCAAGUCCUCAUGGCCCUUACGUGUUGGGCUACACACGUGCUACAAUGGUAUCUACAACAGGAAGCAAGACUGCGAAGUUAAGCAAAUCCCUAAAAGAUACCUCAGUUCGGAUUGCACUCUGCAACUCGAGUGCAUGAAGCUGGAAUUACUAGUAAUCGUGGAUCAGCGUGCCACGGUGAAUGCGUUCCCGGGUCUUGUACUCACCGCC